Molecule: ribosomal RNA, 252 nt
Filed under: uncultured bacterium
Lineage: Bacteria
Description: partial 16S ribosomal RNA
Rfam family: Bacterial small subunit ribosomal RNA
Source: RNAcentral
UACGUAGGGUGCGAGCGUUGUCCGGAAUUAUUGGGCGUAAAGGGCUCGUAGGCGGUCUGUUGCGUCAGGAGUGAAAACUCGGGGCUUAACCCCGAGCCUGCUUCUGAUACGGGCAGACUAGAGGUAUGCAGGGGAGAACGGAAUUCCUGUGUAGCGGUGAAAUGCGCAGAUAUCAGGAGGAACACCGGUGGCGAAGGUGGGAUCCUGGGCCAGUACUGACGCUGAGGAGCGAAAGCGUGGGGAGCAAACAGG